Molecule: long non-coding RNA, 8110 nt
Organism: Phyllopteryx taeniolatus (common seadragon)
Lineage: Eukaryota; Metazoa; Chordata; Actinopteri; Syngnathiformes; Syngnathidae
Exons: 2
Source: RefSeq, a predicted model, not a curated record
UUUUCUCACUGUUUGAAUCUGGCGGCCGAGCGCCGCUGACGCGAGUGGCUUUUGUGCUGUAUUGAAAUCGACAAGUGGGCACGUCCCUGUGCUUCAUUGUCGGCGGGGGUGUUUUGAAGGCUUCGUCUAAAUUUUGUGUUGUUUUUACUGGUAUUGGACCCACGGAGGGGAAGGCCCUCCUCGAAUGACUGAUUUCGGCACGCAGUGAUGUCAAAAGAAGUUUUAAAGUGUUAACAGUAGAAUGCUCGAUUUGGGACGUGCGCUUAGCUUCAGAACGGAUGCGUUCACGCGGUUGUCAUAAAUUAGCAAGGUACGUCACCAGAUGAGUAACAUACCCCAUAUAGUCGUUAAGUACCGAUUGAACACAACCUAGCCAGGUUACUAUUUAGGAGAAUGAGUCUGCAAGCGUCGUCUGAGAGAAGUGACGUCGGCGGGCCAUGAGAGGCCGCCAAAAGGUAGCCAGACGCGGGAAUUGGAUUAAGUUAUCACAUGACGUUCUUGGUGGGAAGAUGAGGAAACACGCCCACGUAUACGGUGGGGCCAAAGUGGGGUGCAGACUGCAUCACACAAUUUCGAAGGUUCGACUCCUGUCGGUUUGGUUAUGCUAAUCUGAGGCUAAAAACGUCAUUCCAGUGUGAGAAAAUUAAUGAACGGACGAGGUGAGCUCUAUUUGGGAACGAAAGAGACUUCAUAGUAGUUCUAGAAGAAGCCCCGUGGAACUAAUUGUGUGUGAUACGGAUACUCUGUGUGAUACGACUUAUUAAUUGUGUACACAAUAUGAAGAAAACCCUAGAACUAUAAUAAAUAUAAUUAUAAAAAUAUCUAUGUAAACAGCUAUAAAGCGCUCUAAAAGGGUACCCAUUAUCGUUAUAAAAAUACAAGUAAGGUAUGAUAAAUUAAUAUAGAUAUAUAUAUACAAUGCGGAUGCCGGGCGGCCGUGAAUACGUCAGAAUUGCAUCGUGCUGUUCUAUUUCCGGGUCAAAAAGAGCUGGCCAGCGUUCCCAGGGAAGCAGCCGAGACACGACCCCGGAUGUUUUGGUUGGCAUAAACGCUUCACGGGAUGGAUACGGCGGCAGUUGAAUUGGUGAGGCCGCGCAUGUGUUACGGAGCCGUUAAAACCUGAGCGAAGAGGAAUGCUGCGAAUCGAGACGAUUCUGGCCCACUUCGGGCUGCACGUGGAGUUGAAUAAACGGCUGCCCGGACUGGCUGCGGUUGGUGUAAUUGGAGUCCUAGUGGCCUACAGAUGGCAUCCGUGACUCCGGUAACAUUCAAGGUAGACCCGACUGCUUUUGUUAACGUGCCGUAGAAUCCUUGUAAACAAGAGGGCGCAGAAGAUAUCGCGGAAACCCAAAUUCUGAAUUCCAAACGCUUUCGUCCAUAAAUGAUGUUAUGAAACCCUCCGCUCAAGCUGCAGAACCGCUGGCCAUUUGCAGGGCACUGGAGAUAUCUGAAAGUCAAGAGUGUUACUAUUUAUUAAUGGUGCUGAUGCUGCAGCAGAAAAAAAGUAGCAGGCUAAUAAAUGGAUAGAUGCUUAGAGAGCACUUGAGGUGAUAGAUGAUUGUGAGAAGCACAUUAACGCAUACGAUGGCUUUAAACUUGUUUAUGCCUAGAAGAGGAGUAAUGAAAAAUUAUGAGGAGUCUUUGAGAAUGACUACGUUAUUUGGUAUGAGGAUUAAUCUGUUUGAUUGUCUCCCCAGAUUCAGCACUAGAGCAGGUAAGACAAAGAGGAUUUUUCCAUCUGUCUGGCAAGCCAAUUUUGAGGAGGGUUAUGUAGUUGCAUUCUGUCUCCUAAAGCAGGUUGAUUACAACACUUUGUGGACAAGCGGAGAGCUACUUUUUGAGCUAAAGGGACAAAUUUAUCAGGGAUAGUAUUCUUAGAUUUCUAAAAAUAAGAUAACAUUGUUGCCCCAGUUAUUGGGGACUGGUUCCUUACAGCGGUUGGGGAGGCUUGGUCAAGGCAUUGAUCAUGUGAGACAUAAAGUAAUGAUACACAAAAGGGGUAAUCGGGAACCACCAUAUAUAGAUUAAUAAAUACGAGUUAAGGUUGAUUGAGGAAAUAGCAGACAGAACAAUCUGGGAAGUCCUGCGAUGCCCUGCGCCCUAAAAUAGCCGGGAACUUGCACUAAAAUGUUAAAUGACCGGACAUCAGCAUCCCAGCUAGGGGGCCCAUUUUACAACUGGUGCGUGUGCGAAGUUUACGAUAGGCAGGGCUUACGUCUGAGGAUAAGAGACAGAGGUCAGGAGGGUUGCAACUCAGAGACAACUGUAAAUAGGAAGAAAAGAACAAAGGUUAGUUAGACUUAAAAAUCUUCCACUGACUUAAUUGAACAAGCUAGAAAGUAAGCGGAUAUAAACCAAAUUUAGAAGCUAUGACAGAAACGCCGUUUACUGAACAGGUGACUCUGGGAGGCUCGGUCGUGCUAGCGUGACCUUAUUGACGUGAAAACCCAGUGUGUCCCCUCUCAUAUGCUGUUACAGCUGCGGGUCGCUCGCCGGUUUCGGCUUUUCAGUUUACCCACAACAAUAACAAAGACAUAAGCAAUGCCGUGAAGCCAGGAAGGGGGGCGCAACUGUUAUUAUUUGUCACAAGAGACUGAGAGAGACUCUUCAAACUGACGAUUGCAUCUAUAUGAAGGAUGUUUCUCAUGACAGAAAGAGAGCCAAGGAAAGGACUUUGUGGUGGAGACGGCGAAAAGCUGGAAAGACAAAGAGCAGCUGAAUGGUCCUGUGUCUCCACGUUUACCAAGCGGAUUGGAACAAUAUGAUGAAAAGUCUGUUUCAGUGGGGGACAAAGUGGACACAUUUCGAAGCCAUCAAUGAUGCUGUGUGGCGAAGGUCGGAGUCGGUCGGUGAUCAGUGGCUCGUCGGAAGAUGGUGGGGACACACUUGAGGUAAUUUGGUAAUUGGUAUUAAGCAGGUCACCUGCCCUUGAACAGCAAUAAAUGGUAAAGGCUAGGCAGGGCAUAUAUUUAGGAGUUUUCAGUAUAAGGAGGGUUAAAUUUUACUUAGUCAGAAAUCUCCCUAGUCAGUGGGGUGGGCAGAGGCACUAGAUAGGAUUGUGGGAGAAAUUAUGGCUAGAAAUAUUUUUGCCAUUAUGGGAGUAUGAGGUCAUGCAGUCCUCAGAUAGAAUUCUACUUCAAAAUUUAUAUUAAACGUCGGUAGGGGUUGAAAGAGAGAGGUCAGAAAGGAGCAGCCCUCCUACUUUAUUUCACCUACCAUUGGUUAAUGAGUCUGUUAGUAGUUUGUUAGCAAAUGCCUCACUAAGUCUCCUACGCUGCACAUGUAAAUAUCGAUGGACCAAGACCAUCGACUGUAUUUGGGCCCUAGGGGGUAAUAUACUACAAAGGGGGGCAUUGAUCGAUUAAUUAAUCUGGUCUGACGUGGAAGAGGGUGACUUGAUUUGCGGAUUUGUCAGAUGUAAUAUUGGAAAUUAGGCAAAAAGCAAUGAAGGAUACCUGUAGACUGGUAGAGGAAUCUUGGGAAAAUUAUGCGCAGUGACAGGGGUGUAAAGACUGACAUACGAGCAAGCCGUUUCUUGUACACUUAGGGAGUAAUCAUCAGAAAUCAGUCGGUACCAGCGCUAUUUUUAAAUCGUCAAUCUAGCAGGAAUAUCGCGGUACUGAGGAGGAAAACCACGUGUAGUGAUUGUAAUCGUUAGUUCAAACCGAUCAACUUUCAAAUACUAGUUACGUGAUGGCAGGGGAGGAGGCGGUUUUUGCCCAAACAGGAACGAGGGAAGAGGAAUAUUAAUUGCAUUAAAAACAAAAGCCUCAGGAGGCUGCCCAAGUUUCAUAGCUCGCAAAUUACAAAUUUAGAUCCGCAGAUUGGGUAAGCACACAAAUGCUUCCAAAGGGGUUGGUUGGGAAUUACGAGUCAACCAAUAUAUAUUCUGUGUUCAAUGUUUAUGGUUUGUGUUCAAUGUUUAUGGUUUGUGUUCAAUGUUAAUGGUUUGUGUUAAAUGUUUACGUUUUGUGUUAAAUGUUUGUGUUGUGUUGAGUAAAAGCAGAAAUGAAGCACCACUGUGUCAAAUUCACUCAUGUGGAGAAGGUGUCAAAUUCACUCAUGUGGAGAAGGCUUUUAUGCACUUUGUGGGGUCAUCUGAGACUAACAUGUUUAUGACGACCAGGACAUUGUGACAGACAAGUGGGUAAGGUCUACACAGACUGUUGACUGACUGACCUUUGUGACAGUGUACAUAAGGACACGGGGAAGACUCUGCUUUUUGACUCUGAUAUGUAGACAUAACUUUAUUUUUCAGGACGCCCAGGAGGAUGCAGGGUGACAGUGUUGAUUUAUUGCAGGUUAUGGGAGUGCUGACUUAACGCCGAUUCUUAUGUGAUUCCUGGGCUAUUGACAUUGCCGCUGUUGGGAAAUGUGUUAACAAUGAAUUAUCAGUGUUAACGUGAUUCGUUAUUUAUGGAAAUAAUAUCAAUGUUUGGUGAUCAUUGUCGACUUGGCCCUUCUCUGGAAUAUGAAGGCAGGAAUUCUGCAGUCCUUGCAGGAACAUCUUUUGCAGAGGUAUGAUUAAUUUAUUAAAGGACUUGUUUACAGGACUCAUCAUCUGGGCCUCUGCAACGGGGAGAUGACCUGUUUAAAUGUGGAUGGUGGUUUGUAUUCCUGUUGUUGUUUAUUUGCUGGGCGAGUAGCCUCUAGGAACUUUGCUGUAAUGCAUCCCACCCGUACCAUCUACGGCCGGCGGACCGGAGACAGCUGGCGAAGAAGGAUGCCGUGACCCGGAUAAAUUGGACACAUUGAUGCGUAAUGUAUCCGAACGGGAGUUUAUGCAGCUUCAUCACAGGAUGUUGGAUGGAGGAGAGCUUAGGAAGACACUGUGCAUGCAUGACUGGUGGGAUACAGAGUAGGACCAAUAUCGGAAUGUCUAAUACAAUACUAUCGAAGGAGUUCCCCUGAUAUGGUAGUAAGUACCUUAGCGUGACACUGACGGUAAGUAUGAUAUGAGUGAGUGGUAAUGAAUAAUACGAAACAGCUAUUGACACCCAUGUAGAGGUUAUGAUUCAAAAAGUGACAGAAAUAUGGAAGUUGGCAUGAACAAUGAAUAUAGAGUAACUAUGGUAUAAUGAGCUAUUAGAGUCUGGGGGCUAAUAUGGAUUUGAUGACGCAGUCGGGUCCGAACUAGGGUCUCUACGAGGUACGGACCUAAAAGGGGAAUGAUGUGAAAAUUAACGCAGAUUUAAGUUACAGGAUGACGGGGGGUUAAGAUAUUGCAAGUCGCUGCGGAUGAUUAGAGGAGAGUGCCAAGAAUCCACCGAAUUGGGUCAGGUAAGUCAGGAGGGCAGGGACUAGCCCAUGCCGAAAGGGGGGUGAGAAGCGGGAAAAUUAGGAAAGAAGAGGGGUUGGGGCACCUGUUAAAUAAAUUGUAGAAAUUAUCAUAGUUUAGCUUAGCUUGCAUUAAUAUUAUGGACAAUUUUGAUGGAAAGAAUUGCGCAACAAAGAAGUCUGCAGAAGAAUAAACCUAGGGUAAUACUAGUCACUGGCAAGUCAAAGGGACGACGGAGUCCUGUACGUACUUAAAUUCCGUGUUUCCGUGGGUUUGUAAAAACAUUGCUAGUAUCGUGUGAAUCUCUAGAAGUAUGAAUGUAUAAGACAGGAUUGCAAAUUACAACUGGAUUUGGAAACAGGUGCAAGAAUCCUCCGUCCCGUGUGGGUAAAAGUUUGAGGGUUACCAAGCCCCAGACAUUCAUUGUCACCCUGUCAUUUUGAAUAGUCAGUAUUUAGGUCACUCUAGGUGCAAAUAAACUGACUUCCAAAUUCACAAAAUAGGAAAAAUAACAGUAAACCAGAUUCAAAAGAACGCUUCACGUGUAAAGACUGGAAAUAUGUUCAACUCCAAAACCCUUACAAAAUGAAACAUUUAAACACAUGGAUAACCAAAUACGAUGUCGCGGGCCAGCUAAAUUCGAAAAAUUGGUUCAACGUCGAGACGAAAUAAAAGUCGACAUAAAAAUAAUUGAAAAAUAGAUAAAAGAGGGAUAUGACGACAUAGUUGUCUGGCUAAACAUGGUGUCUAAAGUAGAAAAAGGAAGUAAGAAAAAGAAGGACUUAGAAAAUGGACGGAAAAGGCCUUCAGUGACAUUAAACAACAUUUGGUGUCCAGGAACGUGCUGGCCCUUCCAAAUUAUGAUAAAACAUUCAUUCAAAUGGUAGAGUGUAAAAGCUAUUACAUGACCUCCGUACUUGCGCAACAAUGCGGUGAUAAACGAAGACCGAGAGCUUAUUUUUCGACUAAAUUAGACAGCGUGAGGUGAUAAUGGCCGGCAUGGUGGGCGACUGGUUAAAGCGUCUGCCUCACAGUUCUGAGGACCGGGGUUCAAUCCCCGGCCCCGCCUGUGUGGAGUUUGCAUGUUCUCCCCUGCCUGCGUGGGUUUUCUCCGGGCACUCCCGUUUCCUCCCACAUUCCAAAAACAUGCACGUUAAUUGAACACUCUAAAUUGCCCGUAGGUGUGAAUGUGAGUGCGAAUGGUUGUUUGUUUGUUUGUGCCCUGCGAUUGGCUGGCAACCAGUUCAGGGUGUACCCCGCCUCCUGCUCGAUGACAGCUGGGAUAGGCUCCAGCACGCCCGCGACCCUAGUGAGGAGAAGCGGCUCAGAAGAUGAAUGGAUGGAUGGACGUGGUGAUGGAAGUUAGGUCAUUUUGUUGGCUCAGAUUCCUUCAUGCAAGGGUGUUACAAAACAAAAUAGUAUCCAGCGGUGGUACGCGUAGGAGUCAUGUCCGCGGGUUUGGAGGCAUACAGCGAUGCAAGGGGGGUAUUAUCACUUACGGAUUAAGCAACUGCCACUACCGUGUCUGCCUUAGAUGUCAAGAACUGAGUGCCCUCCAUAUGUUGUACUGUUAGAUAUCCAUUUGAAAAUGGGUUGGAUUAAGUUUGAUUUUGUUGCAAAAUACUGGCAGAGGUUUUUGUUCUUCCAGGGGUGGUCUGGAGCUGUUCGGGGUCCCGCGUGUAUAAACCUGGACUCUGGGACUAAUUCAUGGACGGUGAUGUUGGACAGCGGCCCUGAGCGGAAGGGGUUACAGUUUCUUCAUAAAUGACAAGAGCUGUAGACCAUAUGAAGGGAGACCACCUUUAAGAUUUUUAUUUCAAUUUGUGUGUAAUUUGAUGUUUGCUUCCACAGUUCUUUUUUGUGUUUUACGCUGUUUUUUUCUUAAUUUAUUUCAAUGUUUGUAUUAUUCUGUUGUGUAUGGUUUGCCAUCCGAGUCAGGGUCCCUUUGGGUGUUUUGAUGUACGGGGCUCUGAAGGACACGUGACAUGACUCUCGCUGUUUUCCUCGUCUCGUUUGAGAAAGGUUUUUCGACCUUGCGCUUCCACGAGGCUGCACGUACAAAUUGAUAAAUGUGAGAUUGGCUCCUUUUUGAUAGCGGGGAGGAGAUUUGGUAUGUUUGGCUGUUUGGUACGCACGUGUGGCCUCAGGGGGCAACGAGGAGACGUAGGGAGUGAUUCGGCCUUAUUAGAAUAUUUGUUUUUCCUAGUAAAUGGUUAAAUGCCUUGGAGCAUGAUAGAUUUUCUUGACCAAGUAGAUUCUUUCAAAUUGUAGAUAAUAGGUUAACUUUUUGGGCUAACGCUGGUUUGUUGUUUCUGGCCAGGUGUCAUUUGCUAACUCGAGGUUUGUAAUGAGUUUGGGGAUCUCAUUAAAGGGGGGUUAUGUAGUAUAUUUUAAUAGUAACACAAUCGGAGUUCCUUUGGGAAGGACAAAUGUAUUCAGACCUGUAUUCACACCAACUGUCUUUUCUUUGUACUUCUACAUCAAAGGACAUCCUUUAGCCAGUUAUAUGUAUAUUGGGGUUGUCCUGCCCUGUCAGGGGUUUACAACCGGGCCAGAUCUUCAAAGAGAACUGUUUUUCAUUAUCGCAACAAAGGGCCCAGGGGAGAAAAAUUGACCAGACGGAGAGACACCAGCUGGAGGGAGCGAUUCCAAAUAUGGUCAUGAAGAGCAGCAUCCUUCCGGAUGCCACCAGGGAGGGGCUAAUUCCACGCCCAGAGAAUUAGAUCCUUGAUAAACUGAGAUACCGGGGUUUUCGGGGGCUUUUUCGUCGUUCGGGCAAUGGAGCAGCUGCUAAGACACUAAGGCUUGUUCAAUAAAUCGAAUUAGCCCAAA